CUCGAGCACCAUCAUCCUGGCAUGCAAUCCAUGGCCGCCUCCCCAUGCAGUCCCUUUCUUGCUGCCGGCGGAAAUCCUGUCAAUCCCUUCCUCUUCUCCUUCUCUUCCUCCAGUGAUCUUUGCUGGAUCCUGCCGCCGUCAACACCAGGCAUCGGAACCCCGGCCCUGCACUCCAUCACCGCGCCCUGUCUUCUUCUCGCUGCGGCUGCUCCACAUCGCGUCCGUCCACCGUCGUGAUGCCCUGAACUCGCCUGCUUUCCCCAACCGCUGCUGGUUGACCUUCUCGCAAAGGCCAGCUCGACCUUCUCAAGGAAGGUUACUUCCGAGGAUCCGGCUCGCAAGGUGCACACCAUCUCGUCCUAGUUGCUGCUGUGUGAAGAUCCGCUGGCCUGAAGACGCAAGAGACCUAUUUGCCCAGCAAAAUGCUGCACUUUUGGUGCAAAACCGUCAAAGAUGAACUCAACAAUCUCCGAGGCGACGGCACAACCAAAAAGUACGAGGAGUGGGACCGUGUGUACCGCUAUGACUACUACAAUGACCUCGGUGAGCCGGACAAGGGCUAUCCGCGCCUGGUUCUCGGCGGCACCCAGGAACUCCCCUAUCCCCGUCUUGGCAGAACUGGCCGACCCCCAACAAAAACAGACCCUAGAUUGGAGAGCAGAAUUCCUCAGUACAAGAUACAGGAGGCCCUCAACAUCACUGUCUCGCGUGAUGGUAUUUAUGCAUCUUCCUAGUUGCUACGGCAAUGCUGGAUUUAAUCAUCCCAGGAGAGAAGAAGCAAAAAGACAAUCAAAGUGUGAGAGAACACGUACAAUGAUGAGAGGACAAAAAAUGUGUGGUGGUGAAUAGCUCCACCGCAUUGCCAUUUGACCCCAUUUUACCCAUUUAGCCAGUGUCCUCUUCAAAGUGUUAAUCUUUAAAGAUAAUGGAACCAAUUUCUUUAGUAUGUGCUUACAAUUGCAAC
This is a long non-coding RNA of Triticum dicoccoides, 964 nucleotides long. RefSeq lists it as uncharacterized. The transcript is spliced from 3 exons. NCBI's taxonomy places the organism in Eukaryota, Viridiplantae, Streptophyta, Magnoliopsida, Poales, Poaceae. The record is from RefSeq and is a predicted model, not a curated record.